Long non-coding RNA from Hemicordylus capensis (graceful crag lizard), 687 nucleotides. RefSeq lists it as uncharacterized. The transcript has 2 exons. NCBI's taxonomy places the organism in Eukaryota, Metazoa, Chordata, Lepidosauria, Squamata, Cordylidae. The record is from RefSeq and is a predicted model, not a curated record.
UGUGUCAUAGGUUUUGCUGUUCAAGGUGGAAUCCAGAACUCCUUGCAAUCGAAAAUCUCUAUACGUUUUCUAAGAAGAUAAGGACCAUGUUGAAAGAAAGAGAGUAAGGAAGUUUCCAAGAAUAGUGCAGAUCAACUGCUACUUGCAUCCUUUGGACUGAGAUGAACAUCUGGAAGUUUCAUUGUGUAGAACAACUGUCUGAGGGAAAAUGUGUUAAAGACAGCCUUGAAGGCAUUUGCAGGAGAGAACAGGUGGUCGGGGAAAGUGUUCUACAGCUUCCUGUUAUCAAUCUUGUCCUGCAUUUGUCUAGUAACAGGUAGUUCCACCCAUAGUUGUGCAUAGGUGGCGAGUAGUUUAUAUGCACAAUGAUGGAAUUAUACAACUUCUCUUUCUACAAAUAGUUACUUUUUGUAUUAGCAUCUUUGAUUUUACAGAAUGCAGCUGCAACUUAGACAUGCAAGUAUUAGUAAAAUGCACGUUCUGUUUAACACCAUGAUGCAGUUUAAAGGUGUUUGGAUAGCUAGUGUACCUAGAGAAACUGUAGAUUUUUGUGUGUGCUGCUAUAACUGUAAUGGCACAAAAGACACUUAACAUUCAUUCCAGUGCCCGCCAAACUAACACCCAAUAAUAAUGUGCUGAUACCUAUUGCUUUUAUUUAUGGAAAUUAAAAGCUCCUUUAGUAAUUUA